UACGAAGGUCCCAAGCGUUGUUCGGAAUCACUGGGCGUAAAGGGUGCGUAGGCGGUUUGGUAAGUCAGAUGUGAAAUCCCGGGGCUCAACCCCGGAACUGCAUCCGAUACUGCCAGACUAGAGGACUGGAGAGGUGACUGGAAUUCUCGGUGUAGCAGUGAAAUGCGUGGAUAUCGAGAGGAACACUCGUGGCGUAAGCGAGUCACUGGACAGUAUCUGACGCUGAGGCACGAAGGCCAGGGUAGCGAAAGGG
This 253-nucleotide ribosomal RNA is filed under the name uncultured bacterium. RNAcentral's name for it is "partial 16S ribosomal RNA". It matches the Rfam family "Bacterial small subunit ribosomal RNA", at positions 524 to 776 of the family's 1533-position model. The record is from RNAcentral. RNAcentral also lists the same sequence under 3 other names.